This 972-nucleotide long non-coding RNA is filed under the name Coturnix japonica (Japanese quail). Its description in RNAcentral is "lncRNA (ENSCJPG00005008393.1)". The record is from RNAcentral. Lineage: Eukaryota; Metazoa; Chordata; Aves; Galliformes; Phasianidae.
CAGGUUUCAUCAUGUAUCCUCUUUAUAAUUGCAUUGUGUGAAUCUGUAUAGUUGUAAAUUAGACUUUAUAAAUUACAAAAUAAUAUUGAAUUCCUCAUCACAGUAAAGAUGCUGUGGUUAUGAUGUCAAUCAAGCAUACGUAAUCAAGUGCAUAAUAAAGGAUCUCAGGCAUGCUUGGUAUUUGACUAGAAAAUUAAAGUUUUAGAAGUUACUGUAACCAGUACAGUUGAAGAAAAGAACUGCAAUGUAGGACCUCGUAACAAUUUUUCUUUCUCAAAAGGAACAUUGAGGAAAAUUUCAGAACACUCCACAUUAUCUUAUUUAUUUCAAUUUAAUUUGUGAGACAAUGUCAGCAUGUUACCUUGGAAGCUUCAAUAUAAGCCCAUUCAUCAAAAGCACUUUCUUCAGUCUUAGCCAGCUGCAAAACCAUUCGAGGUUAUCUUGCCAGAGAAGGAGCCUUCAUAUCCUGCUCCCCUUUAAAAGCACCUUUGCUCUUUACAUACCGGAAGGUAAAUACACUGUAAAAAUGCCAAGGCCUACCACAGUUCAGAUAUUUGAGAGUCUUGUGAAGAAAAGGCACAAAGAGAACCUGAAUAGAUGCUCCCCGUGAACUUUUCAAAGAAUGCAAGAACAUAAUUCUUGCCUCUCCUAGGUGAGCAAGUCAUCAGCUUACUCCUAAUUCAUUUCUAUCUUAACAAGCUUACAGAGCAAACCACUACAGAGAAGAGCAUGAUUUAAAAAGAGAUCAGCAGCAACUUCAUUCCCCAGCUGUGCUGAGAAACUUCUCAGGAGACAAGAUCUAUGCAUGGCCUUCCUUAUGGUGCAGUGCAGCAUUUAAUUUCAGGGGAAAAAAAAAAGUGACAGCAACAGUAUCAUUAAAAGUUCCUUUCAUAUCUUUUACUUUGCAAAGCCAAGGAUGAAUAAGUUUAAAUAACAUUUCUAAGAAUAAAGCAAAUAUCUAAUCAGGCUCCA